GGAGGGGUGUCAGAGCGGACGAAUGAGACGGUCUUGAAAACCGUUAGGGCCGACCAGCCCUCGUGGGUUCGAAUCCCACCCCCUCCGCCA
RNAcentral lists this transfer RNA (90 nucleotides) under Pseudomonadota bacterium. Its description in RNAcentral is "tRNA-Ser". It matches the Rfam family "tRNA". From Rfam's summary of the family: Transfer RNA (tRNA) molecules are approximately 80 nucleotides in length. Their secondary structure includes four short double-helical elements and three loops (D, anti-codon, and T loops). The record is from RNAcentral. Lineage: Bacteria; Pseudomonadati; Pseudomonadota. RNAcentral also lists the same sequence under 1 other name.